CCGCUCACCUGGUUCACUCCUCUCUGAACAAACAGACUCACCACAUGGUGGAGGCCUCAUCCUUUCAGGUCUGGACUGUGCACAAUUGGCGACACAGUCGGUCUGACAGCUCUGAGCCUCGACUGCUUCUGGCACCAGCUGCUGCAUCGACCCAGCAGCCACACAUAAAGAAUGACUUCAGCCAAAUGCAACAGCAACAUAGAUGUUUGAAGACAGUGUCAUGACGGACAAUGUAUAAUUCCACUAUGAACUCCUUACACCAACUACAAAUAGUAGCAGCUUCCCCCCAACCUUCAGUCCCUGCACCAGGCUAACAGAUUCCAGACCAGUGUGUCCUGUUUGACUCUAAGCCCCAUGUGUUAGAACAAGACUGUUGAAUAUCUUGUUUCUAAAAAGUCACUGCCACAACCAGAAAUAGUGGCCAGAGCAGUGAAAAUAUCCAAGUCAUAAUAAAGUUACUAUAUGUAUUUGAGAAAAUAUUGACUCAUAUUAACAUUGAAUGUGUAAAUCUUAGAUUAGAUUAAUCCAGCUCACACCACAUACUCCUUAUGAUUGAGUAACCUUCUAUCUCCUCAUUUUAGAGAAAGUGAAAAAAAAAAGCCUGGAUCUGCCCAAUCUACAAGAUUUCUCUGAAAUCAGUUCAGUUGUGUUGUUAAUUAUCUUGACGGACAGGAAAACAAAUGAACGGCAAAAUAAUUUCUUCUUAGUGGAGGUGAAAAAUAGGUAAGGACUAGAGGAUUGUAUGU
This is a non-coding RNA of Paralichthys olivaceus (Japanese flounder), 746 nucleotides long. Lineage: Eukaryota; Metazoa; Chordata; Actinopteri; Pleuronectiformes; Paralichthyidae. The record is from RefSeq and is a predicted model, not a curated record.